Molecule: long non-coding RNA, 252 nt
Organism: Lacerta agilis (Sand lizard)
Lineage: Eukaryota; Metazoa; Chordata; Lepidosauria; Squamata; Lacertidae
Exons: 2
Source: RefSeq, a predicted model, not a curated record
ACGUGCCGCCGCUUCGUCAGCGACCAUUUGGACGAUUGCAUCGUUGCCCGCGGGCGGAUUCGGAGCGCCUCCACGCAUCCCGAGGCUCUCCCGAUUUCGUUGGAACAGCACCCGGGAAGCGCAGCACAUUGUGUUUACAGCAGGAUGGACUCAGAAUUUUAUUCUUUCAAAUGUUGGUUUGUUCUGGUAAAGGGUUAUGUAACUUAUCAAGCCGACCUUCUACAGAAUGCAAUAAAACUAGUUUCCUGCUAA